Molecule: small nucleolar RNA, 211 nt
Filed under: Rhopalosiphum maidis (corn leaf aphid)
Lineage: Eukaryota; Metazoa; Arthropoda; Insecta; Hemiptera; Aphididae
Description: small nucleolar RNA U3
Rfam family: Small nucleolar RNA U3
About the family: Small nucleolar RNAs (snoRNAs) are involved in the processing and modification of rRNA in the nucleolus. There are two main classes of snoRNAs: the box C/D class, and the box H/ACA class.
Source: RNAcentral
AAGAUCAUACUUCACAGGAUCAUUUCUGUAGUAUGCAUCGUCCCCUCCAGGUGCAAAUCUGGAGUCGUCAUUGGCCACGAUGAUGAGACUUAGUCCAUGUAUCGGAGCGUGAGGCGGUUGGCGAGGUCUUAGCUCUAUGAGUCUAGGCCUCCCAGCAACGAUGAUCGCAACUAGCUCUCGAGCUAGGAGGUACAUGGACAGUCUGAGUGGU